Long non-coding RNA from Lucilia cuprina (Australian sheep blowfly), 370 nucleotides. RefSeq lists it as uncharacterized. The record is from RefSeq and is a predicted model, not a curated record. The transcript has 3 exons. Lineage: Eukaryota; Metazoa; Arthropoda; Insecta; Diptera; Calliphoridae.
GGAAGCAAUUACCGUGAUGGAAGUUUUAAUGCAAAUGGGGCUCUCCUGUCCGUGUGUAUUGUAUCCGGAUGCAUAGGUAUUCACGAAACUACUUAUAAAUUUUUCGGGAAACCUAGAGAUUAAACACCGCGAUGGGACUACUAUAAAAGGCUAGAGCUCUAUCCUAACAACGCGCACGUGUGGGUAUCAAUUCGUCUUCCACACGGAAUGGAAAUGAAGCAUAAAAGACGAGGAAUCGUCAGAAGUCCGUCUAGUCGUCCAGGUAAAAUCAUUAAACUUAGUCGGAAAACCAAAAUGAUACCAGAGCACCCCAGGGGUGGUGGUGCUGGAAAGCAGCUUCUCCCUCGUUGGAUGGAGUCGUGUUGCAGUG